UCCGCCUUCGCCUCCGCCUCCGCCUCCGCCUCCGCCUCCGCCUCCGCCUAUUCCUUCUAGUUUCGGCUCCGCCUCCUCCUUCCAAAGCUGGACUUCUCAUUUUCCGCCGCCUUCUCCUUCUAGUGAACAAAAUCAAAAUCCAUUUGUGGAAAGUGUAAAGUCCCUUUAUCCUCCCAAAGCAAUUCGUAUCUCGAACCCUUUCUAUCUGAACCAAAAAAACGUUAAGAAGGAAAUACCCAAAUCAAUUGACCAAGCUUCAUUCUCAAUCCCCCAAAUGACUAUGAAAUUUACCUAAUGUCCCCCAGAACCCUAAGCCCCAAAUCAUGAAAAUCAAUUACCCAUGUUCCCUUGCCGACCACUCGAAGAGGCCGACCCAAGCGUGAAGAAGCACACCCAUUUCAUUUCUGUACUUCGAGCAAGGACUAGUUGGCGUACACAUGAACGACUCCUUUAUCCAAUAAAAUUUUAUCACUAUUUUGGUUCUAAUAACAACUAAGUGGCUGUUGAUUUGAUUUGUCAAGUUUACUUGGAUUAUUGGAAUUCACUAGUUUUAGAGCUGUUUGAAGCAUGUCAUAAUCAGGACAAUCCUUUAGUAGCCUCAAACAUGAUCGGAUUGCAGGUGCAGUACAUUAUUUUAGUCCCUUUUAAUCCUUUUUCUAUUGUGUUAGAUCUUUGAAUAUAAUCAAUCCAUCAUUGUUUCCUGAGUGAGUUUGAAAGUCAUAAUCCUGUUUUCCUGUUGGCUAUAUGAUGCAUAUAUUUCCAGUUUUAAAGUUGAAGACUUUGAAGGACUAGUUCUCCUAAGUGCAUUCACUACAACAUAUCAAGUCUUCUAUAGCUUGCGAAAAAUGCUAUAUAUCAUGUUUCAUAGCAUUUUCCAAAAUGCUAUCGUAGGUGGUGUAAUUAAAAGUCAUACCUCUAUUAUAACGUUUUAUAAAUGCUAUUAUAAAGUGCUAUAAAAAACUUUUACAUAGCAUUUUUUUAUCGUCAUGGUUUUAGUAUUUAUAGCAUUCUUUUCAUGCAAUCUUUUUUAAUUCGAUAGCAUUUUUUUUUUGUCAUACUUUUAGCUUUAGUAGCAUUUUUUAAUUGUCAUGUUACAUCUUUUAUAACAUUCUUUUUCAUCAUAAUUUUUAAUAAUUAUAGCAUUUUUUGAAUAUAAUGUAUUAUUUUUAAUAGCAUUUUUUGAUUGUAAUGUAUACAUAUUACAUAGUAUUCCUAAUUCCUCAAUUAUCAAAUGUAAGUAUUCAAUAACAUUAUUUUUUGGACAAAAAAUAUGAACAACAAUAAUAAGACCAAUAAUACAUUCAAAACAUUCAUCAAUAUUGAAAUUCAUUACGAAAUCUAAUUACAUUUCGUCUUCAUAUCAAAUACUGGCAGCAAUAUAAGCUUGAAAAGAUAAUAAACAAAAUCAAAUUAGAAUGAUCUCAUUCUAUUUAUUCAAAAUGAAAUUCCUUGAACUCUUGCAAAAAGUUUGGAGAAGACAUCUGUCAAUCCAAUAAAGCAUUUAAAUCUGAAAAUUAACAAGUGAUACAACUUAUUAGAUUGUAAAAUAAUGUAAAGUAAAAAUAUUCAAAACUCUAAUUAGUGCUUGAAAAUGUUAGCGUAUAAAAUUUGACCUUUUUGUCUAUGCUAUUUACUUGAUGACAACUUUGUCAAUUGGCCAUGCAACUGUGGUACCAACACAUUCUUCAAUAUAAGUCAUAUCAGAAGUAGGCCUCCACAAGAAUGCAUCAGGUUUCAAAGCUACAUCAACCCAAACUCUCACAGCAUUAGGUCCUAGAGGAACGUGAUGAACCAAUAUUUUUGGAUCAUUUGAAGACCAACGUCUUUCUACUACCUCUUCUCCUGUUCGGUCCAAUCUAGUAACGUACACUUAUUGUUGAGUGUAUUGGUAUUUACACUCUUCAGUAACACAAAUUUAGGAGCCAAGUUAUAGACAAUUUUAAAAAUAAAUAUAUAUUGUCAAUUAAAAGGAAUGAUAAAUUUUACCGAUGAAGACAGUUGAAUGUUAGAUAAUUCUUCAAUGUGCUUCUCCUGAAACUACAAAGAUAAAAAACUUUAGAAACUAGUUACUAUACUAUGUGAAGUAAAAGCUUAUGAGUUAUAUUUCACUGAAUGGAACUUACUAACCUGUUUUUUCAAUAAGUCAUUGAUUGUUUUCACCAUAUCUGCCACUUGAACCUUUAGAUGAUUUGUUCUUCCUUUAAAUGAGCUACAGUAGACUCCCUUUGAGUUAAUAUGGAAUACUUUGUAUAGCAAACUCCACCUCCAAUCCCUCGUAAUCGUCCAGUAUUCUUUGAACCAAGUACUUUAGAAAGAGCAUCUUCUUUUAUGUUAGUGUUAGAGGCAUGCGGACUCGCAUCUUUCAAUUUUUCCUAAAAAGACAAUAUAUAAGUGUAUAUAUACAUAUAUGCGCACACACACAUGCAUGCGCGCAUAUAUAGAACUAGGAAAAAUAAAUUAUUUAUACUUACAAGCGUAUCUUCAACAAGUUUGCAUAUAGGUUCACCAUUCUUUUUUAUAUUUGCUGCUGCCCAAACCUUCUUGGGACCUAUAGAAGAUGGAUUGCUGCUCUUCUUUUGCUAAGAGAGUGAAGAAUUAUAUGAUAAGAAUCUAGAGCAAAUGAUUGACUUAGUCAAAUUAAAGAAGGCUUGUGGAAUGUUACCAUAUCUUCACGCAAUCUGGCAAAUCCCUUACGACUGCAUGUGUGGGGGAUUUGUUUUUCUCGAAUUUCUCUAAAUCUUUGGCUUUUAGCCUAACAAUCAUAUUUCCAAACUUAUAUAAGUUUAUUGAUAAUUAAUCAUAGCUUAGAUAAAUUUGAUCUAAAAAAAGGGAAAAGGUAGAAUUUACCAUAAAUUCUGUACUCGUCUUUUCCUUCACAAACUUCUUCCAUUACUGGGGUUUAAGUAUAUGAUGAGGUUUGAGUUUCUUUCUUUCAGCUUCAUUUGGUGCUUCUCUAAUCUUUUUCACAAGUCGAGACUUCGACGCUCUCCAGAGACCACCCAUUUCUUUGAAAAUGUAGUCUUUUUGCCAUUCUUCAUCUACUUUGAACCUUUGCUGCAAGUUAUAAAUUUUCAAUUUUAUACAAUAUCAAAUACUUAUUACGUUAUAUUAUAUAACGUCGAAUUAUUUUGAAGGAUGUACCUGAAUAUCUUUCCACAUAACAAGUUUCAUAUCAUCUGAAAGGUAUCGCCAGUCAACAAGAGUAUAUGGUACAGUCUCCCUCACAAGACGGCCCAGAAACGAAGAUAAAGUGACAGAUAGUGAUUGUCCCAUUUCAUUAAACUUUACUUCAAUUGGAGCAAUGACUUCGUUCAAAUUCUUCAUUUGGGUAGGGCCUUUCUUCUUCUUUUGAACUUGUUGAGUCUCUCCUUCAGAAGUGUAACAUUUUGUUGCAAUAGACUCGCAUCUUCCACAUGUGUUCUUUGGUUUUCAUUACCACUCAUGUCUACAUCAUCUUCUGGGGUAACCUCAUGUGAUGCCUCAUCUGUAAAUGUGUUAGUGAUGGACCUCACUGUACAGUUUUUUGGUAAAUCAACAAGUGAAUAAUAUUUUUUUCAUGAGAUCCUUAUGCAUAUUCAUGCUGUAGAAAGAACUAGUAGGAACAUCCAGAGAGUUAAAAUGUUGUUGAAAUGUGUUGGCUACUUUAAGUUGUCCAUGUGUAGUUUUUCGUACUAAUCUCUUUUUACGUGGAGCUUUGGAAUCAUCAACAACCUUUUUUCUGAUAUUCACCAUGAUAUCCAGCCUAUUUAAGAAACUAUAAAAAUCAUGAUUAGCAUUCUAUGUCAAAAUUUCAAAAAAUGACAUUAAAAAAUGAAUAAACA
This 3821-nucleotide long non-coding RNA is filed under the name Olea europaea subsp. europaea. Lineage: Eukaryota; Viridiplantae; Streptophyta; Magnoliopsida; Lamiales; Oleaceae. The record is from RNAcentral.